Molecule: ribosomal RNA, 450 nt
Filed under: uncultured bacterium
Lineage: Bacteria
Description: partial 16S ribosomal RNA
Rfam family: Bacterial small subunit ribosomal RNA
Source: RNAcentral
GUGAGGAAUAUUGGGCAAUGGGCAAAAGCCUGACCCAGCCACGCCGCGUGAGUGAUGAAGGCCUUCGGGUUGUAAAGCUCUGUGGGGAGGGAAGAAAAAGCGGGAGAGUAACUGCUCUCGUGUUGACGGUACCUCCUUAGCAAGCACCGGCUAACUCUGUGCCAGCAGCCGCGGUAAUACAGAGGGUGCAAACGUUGCUCGGAAUUACUGGGCGUAAAGCGCGUGUAGGCUGACAUGCAAGUCGGGUGUGAAAUCCCAGGGCUCAACCUUGGAACUGCACUCGAAACUGCACGUCUUGAGUACUGGAGAGGGAAGCGGAAUUCCGGGUGUAGAGGUGAAAUUCGUAGAUAUCCGGAGGAACACCAGUGGCGAAGGCGGCUUCCUGGACAGUAACUGACGCUGAGACGCGAAAGCGUGGGGAGCAAACAGGAUUAGAAACCCCGGUAGUCC